GCAUCCUCUGGAACACCUGUCCUGGCCAAAUGACAGCACGUGCAUUGCGCGAGCCCAACAGCUCCGUCAGCCUGGCGCUUUUGAGUUUGAGGCAGAUGGAUGCAGCAGGAAGCCCUCAGUGUUAACGCACCCAACCUGCUCUGUUCCGGCUGGAUGAACGUCAGUGGCAGUGGCAGCAGGUCUGGUGAAGCAGAGCCAGAUUCCAGGAUCAGUUUGUGCUUUCAAGGACCGAGACUUGAAGAACUUGGUCUCGAAGAUGCCCCGGGUCUUCAGCGCCUCUGAGAUUUGUCCCCGGAAGAGGAAGCCCCGCUUGGUCAGAUCGAGCAGAAUCUGCCUGACGAUUUCUCCAAGGUACAUGCCACUGCACAUCUUCUCAUAUCUGACACACAAAGCAAAGAGACACAUGUUAGAAAGCCUUAAGAGGAGGAAACACAACCAUACGUUCUGUAUUUAAUAUCUAUGGUUUGAUAGUGGCGCUGUUUUCACCUCUGUUUCCCUUCGUUGAGCGAGUUCUCGUCCACCGACUGGUCGUACGUGGUCCUGAUGUCGUCCAGGCAGCCAUUGUCUCCGAAAGCCCCCCACUCCAUGUUCACACACAUACGGCCUUCGCUUCCCUCCACGAUCUCGAUGUUCUUCGUCUCCUCCAUGUAGCAGGCGUUACUGCCGGUCCCUGAGAGGACGACACAGGCAGAGAAUAUUAAGAUAAGAGCGGUACUUUAUUUAUCCCAAACUGGGACAUUUUUUGACAAGGCAUUGCACAUAAUUAAAGUGUGAAGUUUAAAAAACCCAGGAUGAUCUUUAAUGUACACAUAUCUGACAUUUCAUAUGUAUCAGUAUCUUCUGUUGGUGUGGUUAGUAUAACUAAGCCGGAUUCUACAAGACCAUCUACUUAUUUACAAAGUCACCUUAAGCUUUUCAUAAAACACAUCUAGGGCUGUAUGAAUACUUUGAAGCUUUAUCCAUAACAUUAGGAUUCAAAAUAUAAAACCACCUUUUAAAUUCUGCACAUUGUUCCGAUUUCUUUAUUAAUUUAGUUUAAUAAAUUUAAAUUAAUUCAAACACAAACGGACAAAGUAAACAAAAAGAAUAAAUACGUUUAUUCAAAGGCAAAAAAAGUGGUAAAGAUCCUGGUUUUAAAUGGUUGUGGUUCAGUUACUAACCUGCGAUCAGUCCCACCUCACAGUUGGGCUCCUCGUACGCGCAGGUCAUCAUCGUCCCCACCGUGUCGUUCACUAUCGCCACCACAUCCAGCUCAAACUCCUGAGAAACACACAGGAAAAUUGGUCCUGAAUCGUGUUUUAUUUGCUUUAUAUCUUCACGGUCACCUGUAUAUUUUCUACUCUCUGUUUUGAAAUGUUUCUAAUUUUAGAAUUUAUUAUUCCUACUCUUUUAAUUUAUAUA
Eleginops maclovinus (Patagonian blennie) is the source of this 1401-nucleotide long non-coding RNA. RefSeq lists it as uncharacterized. The transcript has 4 exons. Lineage: Eukaryota; Metazoa; Chordata; Actinopteri; Perciformes; Eleginopidae. The record is from RefSeq and is a predicted model, not a curated record.